Molecule: long non-coding RNA, 679 nt
Organism: Drosophila mojavensis
Lineage: Eukaryota; Metazoa; Arthropoda; Insecta; Diptera; Drosophilidae
Exons: 3
Source: RefSeq, a predicted model, not a curated record
AUCGUGCAGCAAUUUCUGCAGAAUAUACAUAAUGCCUUAUAUAUAUAUAUUUGUUUAUUUAUUUAUUAUAUUGAUCAUAUUGAUUAUUAAAUUUGAAGAUAAUAAGUUUGAAUAGUCAUGAGUCAUAACAGAGAAAUUCAUAGCCUUGCACUUUUUUUUAAUGCUUCUUUAAUUUCUCUUCAGUUGUCAAAGUUGCAUACAGAAAAAUAUAGUAUAUGAGCUCUGAGCUCGUUUCACUCCUAUCGUUCCGCUGUGCUCGUUCUUCCGUACUCAUUCUCCUAUACUCGCUCCCUGUGCUCGUUCCCUGUGAUCGUUCCCUGUGCUCGUUCCCUGUGCUCGCUCCGUUUUGCUCGGUCCCCUGUGCUCAUUCCCUUUCGCUCGUUCCCCUCUGUUUCCUUUAUAAGUGCUUAAAGCAAUUGAGCCCGAGAAGAAUUAAGUCAGUGUUAAAUAGGAGCUCAAGACGAUCGGACGUUAAUUGUUUAUCUGUGCCAAAUCAGAGGGAGUCUUUCCAAAUUGUCACUCGAUGGGAUUCAUUGCUGCCGCUGCUAUCAACAACCACUUAUUGGACUGCAUCAACAUUUCAACCAAACCCUGUGACAACUUGAGUGCGCGAGUGAGAAGAUGCCCUUGCCGUCGGCACCGCGUCGUCCACUGCAUUUGGCAAUGCGAUGAGAAUCCG